RNAcentral lists this long non-coding RNA (261 nucleotides) under Elaeis guineensis (African oil palm). Its description in RNAcentral is "long non-coding RNA (EGUI_LNC074444)". The record is from RNAcentral. Lineage: Eukaryota; Viridiplantae; Streptophyta; Magnoliopsida; Arecales; Arecaceae.
CCGCAACGGUGACUUGCAAGCAACUCACUGUACUAGGCACUGGACUACCUGAAUUUUUAAUUCAGUGACGGAAGGCUGCUGGGUGUAGUCAAGUACUUGACUUGUCGGUGCGUGUAUCAAGAUGGGAUUGACCACUCCAGUUCAGGAGCUGUGUACAGUCGUGUUUCAAUUUAGCAAAACCUUGGCCAGGAUAGUCCUAGUGAGGAGUCACAGGACUGUUUGAGUUGAGCACGACUCGGAUGAUCUAAUCAGGGUUGACAG